Molecule: long non-coding RNA, 639 nt
Organism: Dalotia coriaria
Lineage: Eukaryota; Metazoa; Arthropoda; Insecta; Coleoptera; Staphylinidae
Exons: 3
Source: RefSeq, a predicted model, not a curated record
GGACUUUAUUAGAGUGUGUGGUAUGGACGGCGGCCAGUGUAUGUUAUAGCCACACACAUGUUGGCUUCACACGCGAGGUUGGAUGUGCGAAUGUGUAAACAACAGUAAAAACAGUCAAAACAACACUCGCGACAUGGCAUGUGUGAUUCAUGUCGGUCAGACCCUGAGUUCGUGGUCUAUCUACAGCAUCGUGUUUUGUCAUUAUUAUCAUCCGCUUGGGUUGUACUGGUUUUCUCACACGUCGGUCACACUUAUCCCACAACGGUAUGCAUGGCGGUAGACUUUAUACGAACCCUGUGUGUUUUGCAAUUAAUAUACGUCCAGGUUAAUUAGCUGUCUGAAACAUCUAGAAACGGCAAUCAAUGAAAAUUCUACGGGGUGAACCUAAAAUAAGCAUCUUAGAGUUUUAUUUUAGUUUUUUUAUAAAAAAAAAAUAAACAAAGAAUUAUGCCGAUUUAAUCAAAAUAAUGAUUUUUACGAAUUAAAAAUAUGAAUAAUGAAGCCAGUGUUCAAACAUUAGUACCGCAAAAUCAUUUGACGGUAAUUUUUUGCAAAUCAAAUUAUAAUUCUGUGAUGGAUAUGACGUGAAAUUGUCUAUAUUGUAUUAAUUUCAUGGACAAAUAGACAACGUUAAUUAUA